Molecule: ribosomal RNA, 496 nt
Filed under: uncultured bacterium
Lineage: Bacteria
Description: partial 16S ribosomal RNA
Rfam family: Bacterial small subunit ribosomal RNA
Source: RNAcentral
AUGAACGCUGGCGGCGUGCCUAAUACAUGCCAGUCGAGCGAACAGAUGAGGAGCUUGCUCCUCUGACGUUAGCGGCGGACGGGUGAGUAACACGUGGAUAACCUACCUAUAAGACUGGGAUAACUUCGGGAAACCGGAGCUAAUACCGGAAAAUAUAUUGAACCGCAUGGUUCAAUAGUGAAAGACGGUUUUGCUGUCACUUAUAGAUGGAUCCGCGCCGCAUUAGCUAGUUGGUAAGGUAACGGCUUACCAAGGCGACGAUGCGUAGCCGACCUGAGAGGGUGAUCGGCCACACUGGAACUGAGACACGGUCCAGACUCCUACGGGAGGCAGCAGUAGGGAAUCUUCCGCAAUGGGCGAAAGCCUGACGGAGCAACGCCGCGUGAGUGAUGAAGGUCUUCGGAUCGUAAAACUCUGUUAUUAGGGAAGAACAAAUGUGUAAGUAACUAUGCACGUCUUGACGGUACCUAAUCAGAAAGCCACGGCUAACUACGUG